This 1050-nucleotide ribosomal RNA is filed under the name Lactiplantibacillus plantarum. Its description in RNAcentral is "bacterial SSU rRNA". It matches the Rfam family "Bacterial small subunit ribosomal RNA", at positions 432 to 1474 of the family's 1533-position model. The record is from RNAcentral. Lineage: Bacteria; Bacillati; Bacillota; Bacilli; Lactobacillales; Lactobacillaceae.
UUUGUUGUUAAAAGAAGAACUUUUCUGAGAGUAACUGUUCAGGUAUUGACGGUAUUUACCCAGAAAGCCACGGCUAACUACGUGCCAGCAGCCGCGGUAAUACGUAGGUGGCAAGCGUUGUCCGGAUUUAUUGGGCGUAAAGCGAGCGCAGGCGGUUUUUUAAGUCUGAUGUGAAAGCCUUCGGCUCAACCGAAGAAGUGCAUCGGAAACUGGGAAACUUGAGUGCAGAAGAGGACAGUGGAACUCCAUGUGUAGCGGUGAAAUGCGUAGAUAUAUGGAAGAACACCAGUGGCGAAGGCGGCUGUCUGGUCUGUAACUGACGCUGAGGCUCGAAAGUAUGGGUAGCAAACAGGAUUAGAUACCCUGGUAGUCCAUACCGUAAACGAUGAAUGCUAAGUGUUGGAGGGUUUCCGCCCUUCAGUGCUGCAGCUAACGCAUUAAGCAUUCCGCCUGGGGAGUACGGCCGCAAGGCUGAAACUCAAAGGAAUUGACGGGGGCCCGCACAAGCGGUGGAGCAUGUGGUUUAAUUCGAAGCUACGCGAAGAACCUUACCAGGUCUUGACAUACUAUGCAAAUCUAAGAGAUUAGACGUUCCCUUCGGGGACAUGGAUACAGGUGGUGCAUGGUUGUCGUCAGCUCGUGUCGUGAGAUGUUGGGUUAAGUCCCGCAACGAGCGCAACCCUUAUUAUCAGUUGCCAGCAUUAAGUUGGGCACUCUGGUGAGACUGCCGGUGACAAACCGGAGGAAGGUGGGGAUGACGUCAAAUCAUCAUGCCCCUUAUGACCUGGGCUACACACGUGCUACAAUGGAUGGUACAACGAGUUGCGAACUCGCGAGAGUAAGCUAAUCUCUUAAAGCCAUUCUCAGUUCGGAUUGUAGGCUGCAACUCGCCUACAUGAAGUCGGAAUCGCUAGUAAUCGCGGAUCAGCAUGCCGCGGUGAAUACGUUCCCGGGCCUUGUACACACCGCCCGUCACACCAUGAGAGUUUGUAACACCCAAAGUCGGUGGGGUAACCUUUUAGGAACCAGCCGCCUAAGUGACAGAGAUGU